AGAUCUCUCCUUUUGGAGUUUUUGACUGUAAGCCUAGGACGGGGCGCUGCAGUAGCUGAUUACCCAGCAGGAGGUGCAGUUCCAGCAGGGAUUUUAAGAACAUGAAUGGCCAGAUUUGAAGUCUGCCUUGCUUGAUGUACUGCCUCUGUCUGCUCUGAACAAGAGACCUAAAUAGGAGUUGGAAAAAAAAAAAAAAAUCUUCCUAAUUUUUUGUUAGCCUUCAGAAGUAUCUAGCUUAAGGGCAUCCAGAAGUGAAACUGUGUCACUAUAUCCUAUGAAGUGUACACAGUCAGUUUUCAUUUCUUCUUCAACCCAAAGGCCCCAGUAACAUUGAGAAUUCACUUCCUAAACGAAAAUUUCAAAUGUCACUGAAAGUGUGUGGAGACAAAGAUUAGCAGAACUCGAUUGUAAUUUAUGCAGAUUUUUGUUGCCUCCAUCCACUAAUUGUU
This is a long non-coding RNA of Lagopus leucura (white-tailed ptarmigan), 449 nucleotides long. RefSeq lists it as uncharacterized. The transcript has 3 exons. The record is from RefSeq and is a predicted model, not a curated record. Lineage: Eukaryota; Metazoa; Chordata; Aves; Galliformes; Phasianidae.